ACAGUAAUAACAAAUGCUGCAACACUACCUUCUGUAUUCUUUUAGGGUCCUUGAUGGGAGCCUCGCGGGGUGGCACCUUUCCAAACAGCUUCCAUCCGGCAUCCCGCUGCUCUGCUGAAUGACUGUCCUUCACUUUCCUGGCAAACAGGCUCCUGAAACCGAAAGGGAAGCGGAAUAAACAUAUUUCUAUGAUCAAUGGAGAGCUUUGUCAUCAACACUUUGCAGCUGACAGACCAGCUGGUAGAAAGAUUUAAAGAUCAACAAACAUCUUUGUCAUCAACACUUUACAGCUGACAGACAUAGAAAGAUUCAGAAGAUCAACGGCCAGCUUUGUCAUCAACACUGAGUGGCAGCUGACAGACCUUGUAGAAAGAUUUAAAGCCCAAAUAAAGAACUUUCAGGAUUGUUUGGUUUUGCCGGCGCCAGUGGACCAAAGCGGUAGUGUUUUGCCAGAAAAAGACCACAUUUCCCAUGAGGACUAGCGCAUAUAGCCUCAUACUGACAUGAAUCCCGCUGUAAUUUUGGCACAAAUAUUAUGUCUGUAGUGGCUAUGCUGAUGUUAAAUAGCAGACACUAUCAAGAAAUGAUCUUGGAUUGCGCUACAAACAUGACACUACUACCAAGAAUGUAUCGGGGCGGAUGCAUGUCCGAAGCAAAGAAAGACUGGCAGGAGAUUUUUUUUGGAAGGAAGUAGUAAUGAAACUAUCACGCUGGUUCUAUUUAUUGCUUCCACGCACAUUUUUGAUAGCUAACAUUAGCAUUAGCAUUUUGAUUUGAACAUCAAAAAUCACUUACUAGCCCAGCAGGAACAGAGCCAAGGUAGCAUCGGUCUUAAAUUUAUUUAUUUAUUUAAAUUUAUUGUCUUUGAAAUCACGCUGGCGAGUGAAAGCCGGGUCAAUGUUGAUCCUGACUGUCCUUUUAUCCGGGUAAACUCCGUUGUUCUUUUUUUGUUUUCUCAGACAAAACUUUUUGUUUAUUUGGUUGUUUGUUUUGGUUUGAUAGCAUCAAUAGCACAUAGCUUGCCAAAGAUUGUAAUAAAUCUAUUAAAAGAAGACAGCCUUAACUUGGACACACACAUCUAUACCUUUUGCCAUUAAU
Long non-coding RNA from Entelurus aequoreus (snake pipefish), 1098 nucleotides. RefSeq lists it as uncharacterized. The transcript has 4 exons. NCBI's taxonomy places the organism in Eukaryota, Metazoa, Chordata, Actinopteri, Syngnathiformes, Syngnathidae. The record is from RefSeq and is a predicted model, not a curated record.